UCCGCUCUCUCUCAAUUUCUCGACUGGCGCGGCGUGGUGGGUUUAGAGACGCCGGAAUCGAGUGGGGGUGCGGACGAUCGUCCUGGGGUUUCUCAUCCUUUUGUAAAACGUUCAUCUGUAAGGGGUCAUUUGGAUGCAUGUAAACUCCUUAAGUUGUAACCGGAUUAUAGGUAUAUGGCAGACUGGGAACGAUGUCAAGAUUGGACAGACUACAAGCUGGGCAAUGAAAACUUGAAGUUCAAAAUAUCUGCUCUACUUCUGUUUGUUCUUGAUAUUUUGUUCAGAUAUGGAUGGUGCUUACAUAGGCACAAUAUUCCCUCACCUAUUCUAGUGUAAUUGUAGUUAUAUAUUAGUUGAUUGCUGGAUUAAUCUAUGCCUUUCUCCUUGUGUAUGUUUGUCCUCUGCUUUAAAUUUUCUAUGACCAAUAAAUUCCUGGUUGUUUCCCUUGUUUUCCUUUUCAUCCUUAAAAUUCGAAUUAUUAAAAAAAUAAAAAUAAUAAAAAAUAAAAAAGAACUUUUUAUGCAGUUUUGCCUUGUUUGUUCAUCAAUAUAGCAUGCAUAUGAAUUAUUGUCAAUUGAUGCAGAAAAAUCUCUUAAGCCUAAGUUUGACAUACGGCAUAGUUCCUAGUGUAAUAUUACAAGUAUUCCUUCACAGAACUCAUUUAAUUGAUUGCAUUGUAUAAUUUUUUUUCCUUAGAGUCUCUCAGGUAGCUGAUGUUAGUAAUGCAGGUACCGGAGUCUUAUUGAGAGAGCUCUUAGAGCAAGGCUUGUGUACGGAAGUCGUCAUAUGAACCAAGCUGCUAGUUUUGAAUACAUGAAUCCUCAGUUGGUGUGGAAUGAUUCUCGCCUCUCGGCUUAUGUGAUUGACAACCUAGUCAUUUCUACACAAGCCUACCUCUUUGCUCCUUCAUUUGUGGAUAUUUACAAAGCCAUGGACUUCAUUCAUAAUAAGUGACUUGUUCUAAUGCACAGGUAUGCAUGUACAAGUCCUUUAGCCCCAUUGAGAUGUUAGCUUUUCAUGGUGCUAGUUCUUAUCAUUUUAAUAUAAGGAUUAGUCAUAUAUUUCAGCCCAUGAUCAAGGGCAUAAUGUUGUUGCUCUAACUGUUCGCUUAUUUGAUAUCUA
This is a long non-coding RNA of Magnolia sinica, 1122 nucleotides long. RefSeq lists it as uncharacterized. The record is from RefSeq and is a predicted model, not a curated record. Lineage: Eukaryota; Viridiplantae; Streptophyta; Magnoliopsida; Magnoliales; Magnoliaceae. The transcript has 3 exons.